AUGAUCCAUGAGCACUUCCAAGAACUCCUCGGAGAGAAGAGAGCGCGUGCAUGCACCCUGAACUGGGCUGCACUGGAUUUGCCGAGUUUGAAUGCCCAGGGCCUAGACAACCCUUUCUCUGAAGAUGAAGUGUGGGCGGCAGUAUGCGCCUCGCCAGCAGAAAAAGCACCGGGGCCGGACGGUUUUUCAGGCGGCUUCUUCAGAUCAUGCUGGCAAACAAUAAAAGAAGACGUCAUGGCAGUGUUCCACAAAUUCCAUAGCUUGGCUGCGGGUGAUUUUGUGGCUAUCAACAAGGCUCUGAUUGUGCUCUUGCCAAAGAAAAAUGGUGCAACCCAAGUAGGGGACUAUCGCCCAAUAAGUCUCAUUCACUCAGUGGCAAAGUUGAUCGCCAAGGUGCUAUCGAUCAGGCUCUCAAGUGUCAUGAGCCAGCUUAUUUCACCUAUGCAGAACGCUUUACAAAAGAAAAAAGGAAUUCAUGACAACUUCUUAUAUGUCUGCAACACAGUGAAGCACUUACACUGCAAAAAUAAGCCAGCUCUGCUCCUCAAACUAGACAUCGCUAGGGCUUUCGAUAGUGUUUCAUGGGAGUACCUGCUCGAGCUGAUGCAACAGCUUGGACUCCCGGCGAGGUGGCGAGACUGGAUCGCCCUGCUCCUGUCGACAUCAUCCUCCUCCUGUCUGCUAAAUGGCAUCAAAGGUGACAGCAUUCGUCACAUGAAGGGCCUACGCUAG
RNAcentral lists this ribosomal RNA (732 nucleotides) under Triticum aestivum (bread wheat). RNAcentral's name for it is "partial small subunit ribosomal RNA". Lineage: Eukaryota; Viridiplantae; Streptophyta; Magnoliopsida; Poales; Poaceae. The record is from RNAcentral.